Molecule: ribosomal RNA, 163 nt
Filed under: Hoya pauciflora
Lineage: Eukaryota; Viridiplantae; Streptophyta; Magnoliopsida; Gentianales; Apocynaceae
Description: 5.8S ribosomal RNA
Rfam family: 5.8S ribosomal RNA
About the family: 5.8S ribosomal RNA (5.8S rRNA) is a component of the large subunit of the eukaryotic ribosome.
Source: RNAcentral
UACACGACUCUCGGCAACGGAUAUCUAGGCUCUCGCAUCGAUGAAGAACGUAGCAAACUGCGAUACUUGGUGUGAAUUGCAGAAUCCCGUGAACCAUCGAGUCUUUGAACGCAAGUUGCGCCCGAAGCCAUUAGGCCGAGGGCACGUCUGCCUGGGCGUCACG